RNAcentral lists this ribosomal RNA (1407 nucleotides) under human gut metagenome. Its description in RNAcentral is "bacterial LSU rRNA". It matches the Rfam family "Bacterial large subunit ribosomal RNA", at positions 502 to 1999 of the family's 2925-position model. The record is from RNAcentral.
UGUGAAGGAAAGGUGAAAAGGACCCCGGGAGGGGAGUGAAAGAGAACCUGAAACCUUGUGCCUACAAGCACAUAGAGCACAUCAACGUGUGAUAUGGUACUUUUUGUAGAACGGUCCGGCGAGCGAUUGUACGUUGCGAGCUUAAGCACUUCAGGUGCGGAGGCGCAGCGAGAGCGAGUCUGAAUAGGGCGCUUAAGUAACGUGCAAUGGGCCCGAAACCGGGUGACCUACCCAUGAUCAGGCUGAAGUGAAAGUAAAAUUUCAUGGAGGGCCGAACCGACCUCCGUUGAAAAGGCGGCGGAUGAAUUGUGGGUAGCGGAGAAAUUCCAAUCGAACUCGGAGAUAGCUGGUUCUCCCCGAAAUAGCUUUAGGGCUAGCCUCAUAUUAGAUACCCGGAGGUAAAGCACUGAAUGGCCUAGCGCCCGAGAGGGUAGCGAAGCCUAUCAAACUAAGAAUGCCGGAGUAUUGAUGUAUGGGAGUCAGACAGUGUGAGAUAAAUCUCAUUGUCAAAAGGGAAACAGCCCAGAUCUACAGCUAAGGUCCCAAAUUGUGUUUAAGUGGAAAAGGAUGUGGAGUUACGCAGACAACCAGGAUGUUGGCUCAGAAGCAGCCAUUCAUUCAAAGAGUGCGUAAUAGCUCACUGGUCGAGCGUCUUUGCGCGGAGAAUUUAACGGGGCUAAACCUGACACCGAAGCUUAGGCAAUACAGCAAUGUAUUGGGUAGGGGAGCGUUGUAUACGCGGUGAAACAGUAGCGCAAGCGGCUGUGGAGUGUAUAGAAGUGAGAAUGCCGGAAUGAGUAGCGCGAAUGCAGUGAGAAUCUGCAUGGCCGAAAGCCUCAGGUUUUUGGAGGAAGGUUCGUCCGCUCCAAGUUAGUCGGGAGCUAAGGUGAGGCCGAAAGGCGUAGCCGAUGCACAGACGGUAGAGAUUCCGUCACCACCGAAAGAGUUAAGCACAGGGACACAUUUGAAGUCUCAGAGCCGGGUGUUGGUUCCGGUAGAGAUCGAGGGAAGUUAGUACCGAAGUCUGGGAUGGAAGAUGGCGAGAAAAGCUGUGUGGAUUUCUGAGGUGCCCGUACCGCAAACCGACACAGGUAGGUAGGAAGAAGAUUCUAAGGCCAACGGGAGAAGGGUUGUUAAGGAACUCGGCAAAUUGACCCCGUAACUUCGGGAGAAGGGGUGCUCCAGAGAUGGAGCCGCAGAGAAUCGGCCCAAGCAACUGUUUACCAAAAACACAGGUUUGUGCUAAAUCGAAAGAUGACGUAUACGAGCUGACGCCUGCCCGGUGCUGGAAGGUUAAAAGGAGAUGUGCAAGCAUUGAAUUGAAGCCCCAGUGAACGGCGGCCGUAACUAUAACGGUCCUAAGGUAGCGAAAUUCCUUGUCAGGUAAGUUCUGACCCGCACGAAAGG